This 353-nucleotide RNase P RNA is filed under the name Actinomycetes bacterium. RNAcentral describes it as "Actinobacteria bacterium partial RNase P RNA component class A". It matches the Rfam family "Bacterial RNase P class A". From Rfam's summary of the family: Ribonuclease P (RNase P) is a ubiquitous endoribonuclease, found in archaea, bacteria and eukarya as well as chloroplasts and mitochondria. The record is from RNAcentral. Lineage: Bacteria; Bacillati; Actinomycetota; Actinomycetes.
CUUGCAGGCCGGGUGACCGCGAGCCGUUCGCGGCUCGAGGAAAGUCCGGACACCGAAGGGCAGGACGCUGGGGAAAACCCAGGCGGCGAAAGCCGACGGAAAGUGGCACAGAAAGGAGACCGCCAGCGGCGAAAGACUCUCCGGAGACGCCGAAGGCAAGGGUGAAACGGUGGGGUAAGAGCCCACCAGCGCCGUGGUGACACGGCGGCUAGCCAAACCCCGUCCGGUGCAAGGUGAAACAGGCUCCGCCGACGCGGCCCGCCGAGGAGCCGGGUACACCGCUCGAGCCACCGGGGAACCGAUGGCCUAGAGAGAUGGUCACCCUCGACAGAAUCCGGCUUACAGGCCUGCUA